RNAcentral lists this ribosomal RNA (300 nucleotides) under Enterobacter cloacae BIDMC 67. RNAcentral describes it as "bacterial LSU rRNA". It matches the Rfam family "Bacterial large subunit ribosomal RNA", at positions 2631 to 2925 of the family's 2925-position model. Lineage: Bacteria; Pseudomonadati; Pseudomonadota; Gammaproteobacteria; Enterobacterales; Enterobacteriaceae. The record is from RNAcentral.
UCGGUCCCUAUCUGCCGUGGGCGCUGGAGAAUUGAGGGGGGCUGCUCCUAGUACGAGAGGACCGGAGUGGACGCAUCACUGGUGUUCGGGUUGUCAUGCCAAUGGCACUGCCCGGUAGCUAAAUGCGGAAGAGAUAAGUGCUGAAAGCAUCUAAGCACGAAACUUGCCCCGAGAUGAGUUCUCCCUGAGACUUUAAGUCUCCUGAAGGAACGUUAAAGACUAUGACGUUGAUAGGUCGGGUGUGUAAGCGCAGCGAUGCGUUGAGCUAACCGAUACUAAUGAACCGUGAGGCUUAACCUU